Molecule: ribosomal RNA, 443 nt
Filed under: uncultured Leptotrichia sp.
Lineage: Bacteria; Fusobacteriati; Fusobacteriota; Fusobacteriia; Fusobacteriales; Leptotrichiaceae
Description: bacterial SSU rRNA
Rfam family: Bacterial small subunit ribosomal RNA
Source: RNAcentral
CCUACGGGGGGCAGCAGUGGGGAAUAUUGGACAAUGGGGGCAACCCUGAUCCAGCAAUUCUGUGUGCACGAAGAAGGUUUUCGGAUUGUAAAGUGCUUUCAGCAGGGAAGAAGGAAGUGACGGUACCUGCAGAAGAAGCGACGGCUAAAUACGUGCCAGCAGCCGCGGUAAUACGUAUGUCGCGAGCGUUAUCCGGAAUUAUUGGGCAUAAAGGGCAUCUAGGCGGCCUAACAAGUCAGGGGUGAAAACCUGCGGCUCAACCGCAGGCUUGCCUUUGAAACUGUAAGGCUGGAGUACCGGAGAGGUGGACGGAACUGCACGAGUAGAGGUGAAAUUCGUAGAUAUGUGCAGGAAUGCCGAUGAUGAAGAUAGUCCACUGGACGGAAACUGACGCUGAAGUGCGAAAGCCGGGGGAGCGAACAGGAUUAGAUACCCCAGUAGUC